RNAcentral lists this ribosomal RNA (497 nucleotides) under uncultured bacterium. RNAcentral describes it as "partial 16S ribosomal RNA". It matches the Rfam family "Bacterial small subunit ribosomal RNA", at positions 29 to 507 of the family's 1533-position model. The record is from RNAcentral.
AAUGAACGCUGGCGGCAUGCCUAACACAUGCAAGUCGAACGAACAGACGAGGAGCUUGCUCCUCUGACUGUAGCGGCGGACGGGUGAGUCACACGUGGUUGACCUAACUAUACGACUGGGGUGACUUCGGGAGACCGUAGCUAAUGACCGAUAAUAUAUUGACCCGCAUUGUUCAAGAGUUAGAGUCGGUUUUUCGUACGCUUAUAGCUGAAUCCGGGCCGGAUUAGCUAGUUGGUUAGGUAACGGCUUACCAACGCAACGAUGCGUAGCCGACCUGAACGGGUGAUCGCCUACAUGGGAUGUGAGGAACGGCCGAGACUCCUACGGGAGGAAGCAGUAGGGAAUCUUACGCAAUGGGGGAAAGCCGGACAGAGCAACGCCGCGUGAGGGAUGAAGGUCUUCUGAUCGUAAAGCUAUGUUAUCCGGGAAGAAGAAAUGUGUAAUUAACUAUGCUCGUAUUGACGGUACCUAAACAGAAAGCCACGGCUAACUACGUG